CAGAAGGGGAGUUGGGAGCAGA
This 22-nucleotide microRNA is filed under the name Homo sapiens (human). Its description in RNAcentral is "hsa-miR-3154". RNAcentral also lists the same sequence under 1 other name. The record is from miRBase by way of RNAcentral. Lineage: Eukaryota; Metazoa; Chordata; Mammalia; Primates; Hominidae.